Molecule: long non-coding RNA, 474 nt
Organism: Acipenser ruthenus (sterlet)
Lineage: Eukaryota; Metazoa; Chordata; Actinopteri; Acipenseriformes; Acipenseridae
Exons: 4
Source: RefSeq, a predicted model, not a curated record
UAUAUAUAUAUGUUGUGAAGGACAGCGACGCCUUUAAGGAAUGGCGAAGCUCAGCAUAAAUUGGAGAGGCGGGGUCACUGGAUUUGAAAAGGAAGCCAGGCAGAACAAUCGGGGGUUCGUGGGGAACACCGUUGGAUUGUCCUGCCUGACCAAGCCCUUGGUCUAUUUGCUUUUCAGUACCUUCUUGCCUAAGAAUAUGGAAUAUGGCAGACUACAAUGAUCAGUAUGAUCAGCUGAAGAACGAAUUAAAAGAAGGAAUACUGACAGACAAUGGGUUUGAUACACGCGUGAAAGCCCUGUUGAAAAGGACAUCGCAGUCAGACGUCGUCAGUAAAUGCCAAGAUGCAGCAAGUGUCUUUGCAGAAAUGAAAAAGGCACUACACAGCAAAAGUCUACCAAUAAAAAAGAAACAAUAUCCUUUAAAAAAGGAAGAAAGAAAAGUACUAAAGGUUAGGGUUAGACCUAUGGAGUGGA